UACGGAGGGGGCUAGCGUUGUUCGGAAUUACUGGGCGUAAAGCGCACGUAGGCGGCUUUGUAAGUUAGAGGUGAAAGCCCGGAGCUCAACUCCGGAACUGCCAUUGAAACUGUUUAGCUUGAGGACGAGAGAGGUGAGUGGAAUUCCCAGUGUAGAGGUGAAAUUCGUAGAUAUUGGGAAGAACACCGGUGGCGAAGGCGGCUCACUGGCUCGUAUCUGACGCUCAGGCGCGACAGCGUGGGGAUCAAACAGG
Molecule: ribosomal RNA, 253 nt
Filed under: uncultured bacterium
Lineage: Bacteria
Description: partial 16S ribosomal RNA
Rfam family: Bacterial small subunit ribosomal RNA
Source: RNAcentral